ACUCCUACGGGAGGCAGCAGUGGGGAAUAUUGCACAAUGGGCGCAAGCCUGAUGCAGCCAUGCCGCGUGUAUGAAGAAGGCCUUCGGGUUGUAAAGUACUUUCAGCAGUGAGGAAGGCGGAGUCGUUAAUAGCGGCCUCGUUUGACGUUAGCUGCAGAAGAAGCACCGGCUAACUCCGUGCCAGCAGCCGCGGUAAUACGGAGGGUGCGAGCGUUAAAUCGGAAUUACUGGGCGUAAAGCGCAUGCAGGUGGUUUGUUAAGUCAGAUGUGAAAGCCCGGGGCUCAACCUCGGAAUUGCAUUUGAAACUGGCAGACUAGAGUACUGUAGAGGGGGGUAGAAUUUCAGGUGUAGCGGUGAAAUGCGUAGAGAUA
RNAcentral lists this ribosomal RNA (372 nucleotides) under uncultured bacterium. RNAcentral describes it as "bacterial SSU rRNA". It matches the Rfam family "Bacterial small subunit ribosomal RNA", at positions 335 to 698 of the family's 1533-position model. The record is from RNAcentral.